Molecule: ribosomal RNA, 430 nt
Filed under: Pseudomonadota bacterium
Lineage: Bacteria; Pseudomonadati; Pseudomonadota
Description: Proteobacteria bacterium partial 16S ribosomal RNA
Rfam family: Bacterial small subunit ribosomal RNA
Source: RNAcentral
UGGGGAAUAUUGGACAAUGGGCGCAAGCCUGAUCCAGCCAUGCCGCGUGUGUGAAGAAGGCCUUAUGGUUGUAAAGCACUUUAAGCGAGGAGGAGGCUACUUUAGUUAAUACCUAGAGAUAGUGGACGUUACUCGCAGAAUAAGCACCGGCUAACUCCGUGCCAGCAGCCGCGGUAAUACAGAGGGUGCAAGCGUUAAUCGGAUUUACUGGGCGUAAAGCGCGCGUAGGCGGCUAAUUAAGUCAAAUGUGAAAUCCCCGAGCUUAACUUGGGAAUUGCAUUCGAUACUGGUUAGCUAGAGUGUGGGAGAGGAUGGUAGAAUUCCAGGUGUAGCGGUGAAAUGCGUAGAGAUCUGGAGGAAUACCGAUGGCGAAGGCAGCCAUCUGGCCUAACACUGACGCUGAGGUGCGAAAGCAUGGGGAGCAAACAGG